UACGUAGGGUGCGAGCGUUAAUCGGAAUUACUGGGCGUAAAGCGUGCGCAGGCGGUUUUGUAAGUCUGUCGUGAAAUCCCCGGGCUCAACCUGGGAAUGGCGAUGGAGACUGCAAGGCUAGAGUUUGGCAGAGGGGGGUAGAAUUCCACGUGUAGCAGUGAAAUGCGUAGAUAUGUGGAGGAACACCGAUGGCGAAGGCAGCCCCCUGGGUCAAAACUGACGCUCAUGACACGAAAGCGUGGGGAGCAACAGG
RNAcentral lists this ribosomal RNA (253 nucleotides) under uncultured bacterium. RNAcentral's name for it is "partial 16S ribosomal RNA". It matches the Rfam family "Bacterial small subunit ribosomal RNA", at positions 524 to 775 of the family's 1533-position model. The record is from RNAcentral.